GAACUUCCCACUGAGCCCUCAGCUUUGCCAGGGGAGGUGGGGAAGGAGCUCUCGCCGGAACUGGUGAUGGAGAAGGAUGAGACCGCAGAUCCCAGACCACCAGCUGCUGGGACGCUGAACAGAAGAGUCGUGUUCUCCAGAGGACCCCGGGGAGGCGUCACCUCACCUAGCAGAGGCCCAGGUACCUGGACGCUGAGAGGCAGGUAUGUGGUCAGGACUGUCCACAAGGUUCUCUCAACACUCUUACCUUGGACUUUGCAAGUGGGCGCUGGACAGUGAGAAAGGCCGUUCUGCACGGACACAGCUGGACGAGAGUGGGGUAGCUGGUCAUCAAGAUGCCCCUACAAUCCCUCCCUUCCCGGUACACACGCGGCCCCCAUAUCAAGAGACGGAGCUAAUUUCCCGGUCCUUGAAUUCCCCCAGCCCCUGGGACGGGCUCUGACCUAAAGGAUGCAGCAGAAACGAAGUUCUGAGGCUGCCAAGCCCAGGCCUUUCUACUUCCUGCUUCUUCGAGCCUGGCUGCCAUACUGGGAGGCCGUCCAAGCAGCCACGAGGAGAGGCCACACAGAGGAGAACCAGGGACCCCAGCCAACAGCCCCGCUGACCUCGUGGCCACCAGCCAGCCCCGACCUGCAGCCAUGUGAGUGAGGCCAUUUUGGACCUUCCAAACACCCCUGAACCCCAGGGGCUCCAGAGAGAGCAGACCCCAAAUUGACACACAGAACUGUGAAGGACAAGAAAUGGUCGGUUUUUAUUCUAAGUCACUGAGCAAAUAGCUAAAUGAAACAGAAACCGAUACGGCAAGGCUCUUACAAAAUGUAACAUGAUGUAGGAUUUCCGGUUUUGCUCAUUAGGCCUGUGUAUACUGGGCAUUAGCCCAGGUUCCAGAAAUAAUUCAAGCAGAGUCAAGAUUUGGGCACUGACAGGCUAACCCCCCUUGCUUUUAAACCAGUGGUUCUUCCGUUGAGUCUGAGCCAUGUUCAUAGAACUCACAUCUGGAAAGGACCCGGUGGUCCUGGGCCCCCUCCCUGGAGGGCGGCGGCCGGUUUCUCAGACCUGUGUUCAGCUCAGAGCACGUUGCUUCCCGGUCUCCCCUGGGAAGACCCUCAAUCCUCAGGCAGGUCGAGGGCGGGCACCUGGUGUUGACCUGAGUCUUGGAGGUUCGGGACGUGCUCUCUUUCCUGGGGAACACCCACUUAACCCCCUACACCCCCGGCAGUGGGCGGGAGCUGGGCCUUCCUUGCUGGCCCUGGUCUGGGGGAGGAUGGUCUCCUCUCUGGUGGGUCCUGUUCCCUUUGCAGUUUCCAGGAGUCGUACGAGCCUCACAGUGGGACGGACGCCAGGCUGGAGCCCUGGCAUUCACACAAAAAGACUUUCAUCUCUCGAUUCUGGGCAUCAGACUGUCCGAGGGGCUCUAUUUUCUGCAGAAGGUGCUUGCUGACUGUGGACUUGCCUGUCUGCUGAAGACCUUCUCAAAGCCGGGUUCCCUUCCCCGGCAGCCGCCCACCCCUCAGCUGUGUGACCAGGCGAACAUCCCUUUGAUCCGUGAAGGCGAGAAAGGAAGCAGGGCAGGCCUUGCGGGGGGGCGGAUCCCACACGCGGGUGCAAACGGAGAACCAUCUGGCAUCCGUCUGCUUGCCUCCCCCGUGAUGGGUUCUUCCGGCUUAACCCUCUUCCCACCCGUCCUCUCGGAGCUAGACGCCGGCUCCCCUUCCGCCCGGUGUUCCUGGGCGCUCGGGCCUCUCCCGAGGGGGCUGGGCGGCCUGCCUUCUGUCCACCUGCGCUUCUGCCCCGAGGCCGCAAUGGGAAUGGGUGGUGACGGCGGCCCCUCUCCAGGGAGCGGCUGAGGUGUGGAUCGCACUUCUGUGUGCGCCACCCCUGGACUCCCAGCCACGGCCACGGCCACGGCCACCUGAAGCCAGUGCUGCGGCCGUUCCCACUUCACGGGAACGGUCCAUAACGCACACGGGCCACGGCCACGGCCACGUGACAGGAAGGUGGCCGAGGAACUGCCCGAGGCCGGCCCCUGGCUCCGGGGCUGCACUGCUCCCAGCUCCCAGCCUGGAAAGUUCCAGGCUGGCUGGGGCCGGGGUGAAGCUGCAGGCGGGGUGCAGCGGGUGGUUUGCUGAUGCGAUGACGCUUGUCCCGCAGACGCCAAGGCCGACCUUCCCCGCCUUCCCUGCCUGGUGGCUGUGGUCCCGAGGCCCAGUGGUCCCCUGGGGGCAGGGGGGUGGGCCCGGGCCUGGCUAGGUGUGAGCCUGGCGAGCCGCCGGUCUCCUCGCCCUGCGGUGGGGCCUCAGGACACCCCCUCGGGGCCGUAUGGGUGUCCAGGGGCUGCAGAGCCCCCAGCAGCAUCCGUCCAGCCGGCGUUCGCCUGGGCUGCCGAGACCGCCUGGCCUCUGCCGGGGGCGGCGGCACAAACUCACCUGCGACAAAGACCGGGCAGCUUCGCCGUGUUCACUGCAUCAGCUCCGAUCCUCCCCGGGAGGGCGCCAUUCUUGGAAGUGGACAGAAGGAGGGGGAGGUUGAGGCCCGGGAGGCGAGUGAAUGUGGCCGCAGAAUCCCACGGGGCCCUCGAUCAGACUUGCUUUAUGAGGCCCAGAGGCCCGAGUGUCGGAGGUCACACGUCAAAGGGUCUCCCCACCUGUGACCCCACCUGGACACAGCCAGGCCGGGCAGGCAGUGGCCCCUCAGGAAGCCAGGAAUCGUGACUCCCCACAUGAUCUGUCUAAAAGCCGGAUGUGAGGUGCUGGUGAACGAAGCUGUGCAGGGGGCACUUUCUGGAGGAAACCACGUUCCAAGCUGCACGAGAGUUUCGGGCGGACCUCGCCCCUUGUCAGGGGCAGCUGAAGUGCAGCCAGGUGCAGGGGGCAGCUCUGGGCACUGGGUUGCCUUGGCCCCUGUCGCCUGCAGCCUCCAGCCUGGGCAGAAUCUUUCAGCCGCAGCCAGACCAUCCCAGGGGAUUCCAGCAAGGCCUCACGUCCCAGCGACAGUGACCCGUAUGGCCAGAGGGAAAGUGAGCUGAGCAGAGGCCUUCACUCCUGCGUUCCUGCUUCCAGGGAAGCCCUGAUUACAAAGAGAGCUGGAGGGCGGCUGCUCUGGGAAUUAAACCAAGGUGUUAGUUGUCCAGGACCUGGCUCAUUGAGAGUGAAGUGACCAAGCUUGGAGUGUUUCCCCUUGGUGUGAGGGCAGGUGCAGAGGCAGCUCUCUUGUUCAGCUGAGGAAUAGGAUGGUGACAACUUCUAUGUGGGUGCCGUGAGGACCAGUGUGACAUGGGAUGUGCUCUGGGCUGGCUCUUCAGGACACUCAGGUCCACGUUCUCCCUUACCUGGUGCUGAGGACCAGCUGGGCGUGUCUCACAGGUGCCCUUCCCUGGAGUGGGUGGGCUGGGUCCUGACAUAGCUGGGUCCUUUGACACAGACAGCACUUGUGAUUUAGAGAGGAGAGUCUGGUGAUGGAUAUGCUGGCUGAUCAAGCCAAAAACAAUGUAAAAUGUUUAUAACAACUCUUCUUCCUCAAUUCUCUCCCCAGCCAUCUCUCUUAAAAAAUUUUUUAUUAGACUAUUUUUUAGAGCAGUUUUAGGUUCAUAACAAAAUGGAGCAGAAGUAUAGAGAUUUCCCAUACACCCCUUGUCCCUACACACGCAAAUCUCCCCCACCAUCAACAUCCCCGCCAGAGCGGUGCGUUUGUCACAAAUGAUACACCUGCACCGAUGCAUCAUUGUCACCCAAAGUCCAUAGUUUAUAUUAGGGUCACUCUUGGUGUUGUACAUUUUGGGGUUUGGGCAAAUGUGUGAUGAUGUGUAUCAUACAGAGUAGUUUCACGGCCCUAAAAACCCUCUGUACUCUGCCUACUCAGCCUUCCCCCUCUCUUUGUAACAAAUACUUUAGUAGCUUCCAGACCUCACGUGCACAGCCUGGAUUUAUCAUAAUCUGUGGUUCACGGCACACUCUCUGCAUUGGUCUCCGCUGGAUGCUCUUUUCCUUUAAGAUUAUGGUAAAAAUAUAAUGAACACUCCGCACCACCGGCCAAUCCGAGAGCUGGAACAGUCAGUACCUCAACCGCUUCCUCCUCCAUCCGAGGUAAACAUGAUUCUGCACUUGGUGUUCAUUUUGUUUUUAUUUCUGGGACUUGAUUUUUCCUCUUCAACAUUACAUUCCUGAGCUUUGUUUAUAUUCUGUGAGCAGCUGUAGAUAGCGACUGUCACCAUGGUAGAAUUUUUCAUUGUGUGAUUACAUCAUACAUCAUCCAUUCUCUUCUCUUGUUGUCGGGCCUUCGGGCUGCUCGGGCGUUCGCUCUGACGAACAGGCCUCCUGUCCACACCCGCGGGGGACCCUGCUGGGAGGAGAGCUGAGAACGGAAUCUGGAUCAUGGGAACGCAACAUUUUAACUUGGCAAGCGCUGCCUCAGCAGCCUCCGGAAGCAGCGGACGAAGCCCGUUCGUGGUGUGAGGGUCCUGCGGGUCCGGAGCCGGCCGGGCGUGCGGGGACAGCCCGCCCCUGCUCCAGGGCGUCUGUGAGGAGCGGGGGCUGCGAUGCACCGAAGGCUUGGAUGCGCUCCGCUGGAGCAGCCGUCCUCACGUCUUUUGGCUGACGCUGGCUGGGCCUCAGCUGGGCCGUGGCCGGAACCCCUCCACGUGGCCUCUGCAUGUGGUCUCUCCUCCGGGUGGUUUGGGCUUCGUCGCAGCAUGGCGGCUGGGUUCCCCGAGGGAGUGUCCAGGCGGAAGUGCACACAGAGUCUUUCCGUGGUCCUCUCUCUAUUGAUCGAGGGAUCACAAAGGUCUGCUCACGUUCAAAGAGAGGGAUUAUCCACCUCGCACCUCAACAGGAGCCUCAAGUCCAUGUUGUGAAAACCUUGUGGGAAGGGGGUAAUUGACGCAGCCAUCUUUGUACAAUACGACCUGCCACAUCUGUGGAACCACCCCCCAGAUCGAGGUGGUUCCGGUGACCUGGUGGCCCCUUGGGCCCCUUCCAGUUCAUGCCAAACCCUGAAGGUAAUCACUGCCCUGAUCUCUAUGACACAGGCUAGUUCUGCCUCAUCACGAAUAUUACCCGAAUACCUAAAUGGAAGCCUGUGGUGUGUGCUUUGGGGUCUGGCCUCUUGUGUUCCAUAUCGUAUCCUGAGAGACUGACCCAUAUCGAACGGUCAGCAGCUUGCUGUUUUGCACCGCUGUGCAGUACUCUGUUGUAUGACAUGCAGUUUGUCCAUCCCACUCCGGACAGACAAUGGUAGGUUUCCGUUUAGAUCAUGAUGAACAUUCUUGUACAACUUUUUGGUGUGCGCAGCCUCUCGUCUCCGUUGGGUAUAUACCAGGAGGGGCACCCUGGGUCAUAGGAUGUUUGCAUGUUUAGCUUCAAUAGACCCCAGCAAACAGUUUUCCGAAGUGACUGUAGAUUUUACUCACCAGCAGGAGUGCCAUCUCUCCGCAGCCUGUAAUUUUUAGCCAUUCAGGUGGGGGGUGGGUGCCUGGUGACGUGUCACUCUCCCUGUCCCUGGUGACUGAUGGUGCUGAACCCCUUUUCACGUUUAUUGGCCAUUUGGGUAACUUUUCUAAAAGUGCUUUUUUCAAGUCUUUCACUCAUUUAUUUAAAACUGGGUUGUCAGACCUAAGUGUCCAUCAACAGAUGAAUGGAUAAAGAAGAUGUGGUCUAUAUCUACAAUGGAAUAUUACUCAGCCAUAAAAAAGAGUGAAAUGUUGCCAUCUGCAGCAACAUGGAGGGAUUUGGAGGGUAUUAUGCUCAGUGAAAUAAGUCAGACAGAGAAAGACAAAUACUGCGUUAUCACUUAUAUGUGGAAUCUAAAAAAUACAACAAACUAGCGAAUAUAACAAAACAGAAACAAACUAGUGGUUCCCAGUGCGGACAAGGAAACGGGG
This is a long non-coding RNA of Balaenoptera ricei (Rice's whale), 5875 nucleotides long. RefSeq lists it as uncharacterized. The record is from RefSeq and is a predicted model, not a curated record. The transcript is spliced from 3 exons. NCBI's taxonomy places the organism in Eukaryota, Metazoa, Chordata, Mammalia, Artiodactyla, Balaenopteridae.